This 253-nucleotide ribosomal RNA is filed under the name uncultured bacterium. Its description in RNAcentral is "partial 16S ribosomal RNA". It matches the Rfam family "Bacterial small subunit ribosomal RNA", at positions 524 to 776 of the family's 1533-position model. The record is from RNAcentral.
GACAGAGGUGCCGAGCGUUAGGCGGAAUCACUGGGCUUAAAGCGUGUGUAGGCGGAUCGUUAAGUGCUUUGUGAAAUCCCACGGCUUAACCGUGGAACUGCUUGGCAUACUGGCGGUCUUGAACAACCUAGGGGCAAGCGGAACAAAUGGUGGAGCGGUGAAAUGCGUAGAUAUCAUUUGGAACGCCAAUGGUGAAAACAGCUUGCUGGGGGUUUGCUGACGCUGAGACACGAAAGCCAGGGGAGCAAACGGG